UACGAAGGGGGCUAGCGUUGUUCGGAAUUACUGGGCGUAAAGCGCACGUAGGCGGCUUUCUAAGUCAGGGGUGAAAUCCUGGAGCUCAACUCCAGAACUGCCUUUGAUACUGGAGAGCUUGAGUCCGGAAGAGGUGAGUGGAACUCCGAGUGUAGAGGUGAAAUUCGUAGAUAUUCGGAAGAACACCAGUGGCGAAGGCGGCUCACUGGUCCGGUACUGACGCUGAUGUGCGAAAGCGUGGGGAGCAAACAGG
Molecule: ribosomal RNA, 253 nt
Filed under: uncultured bacterium
Lineage: Bacteria
Description: partial 16S ribosomal RNA
Rfam family: Bacterial small subunit ribosomal RNA
Source: RNAcentral